RNA transcript from Oncorhynchus gorbuscha (pink salmon), 1362 nucleotides. RefSeq lists it as uncharacterized. The transcript is spliced from 9 exons. Lineage: Eukaryota; Metazoa; Chordata; Actinopteri; Salmoniformes; Salmonidae. The record is from RefSeq and is a predicted model, not a curated record.
ACGAUUUGUCGCGAGAGAGGGUUUGUUUACAUAACAGGUUAAGUGAAUUUACGUAGUAGGUUAGAAGAAUUACGUUAAUGUUAGGAAAAGAGUUAGGGUGAGAUUUCGCCUCAAAAUUACAGUCAAGUGUUGUCCCCGAAGCGACCACUAGAUGAAGCUGUAGGCCAAAUCCUUCUAGCCAUAACGCUAGAAACAAAAACAUACUAUCUGUGGCGACAAAUCAUCAUUAUCAAAACACGGGCUUGCAAGACAUUGAUGUAUAAAUACAUUUAAAAACGGGGCUUCCUUCAAGCUUGAUUUGGCCGGCGCUGCGUUGAUAAAAUGACAAAUAUUCGUCGUGAUAAUUCUCAAAGUUUAUCAAAAGCUUGGAUUGCACUGAGGAGACUUGAUAAAAACGAUGACAGAGUCAUUGCAUUACAAGAGGUCACCAUUCCAAAGGGUAUGGAGGCCACUACAGUUAAACAGAUCAUAACACAUUUGUUUGGAUUGAAUUCUGCUAAUGUGACACAGACAUUUAAGAUAAGAAACCACAAGGGCUGUCUGAUUCCAUUCAACAGCUUUAUACCGGUGAACAGCAAGCACAUGCCAUAUGUGCUGGAAGUGGCAACAGUCUUUCAGCAUGUCAUUCCAAAACCACGGACCAUUGCCAUGACAGUAAUCAAUAAAAGUAUGCGAACAAGACUACAAGGUGUUGUCAGAAGGUGAGACUUGAAGAACUGUUUCCUCAGAUUAAAUUAAGACGUCAUGAGAAAAUUUAUCAGGAAAUAGAGUUGCUGAACCAACAGUUGAGAUUUCUUCAUAAAAGAAUGCAGAUGGCCGAUUCUCACAGAUGGAUGGGGAUGUUCAUCAGAACCCCUAUGUGGUAGAACAAAACACCUAGGCCCAACAUGUUUUAUGUACUUUCCAUUUGUUUAUACUGUCAAUUUUACCAUAGCCAUAUGAGCAGAUUUAAGAGUAAUGGUAAACCUGGUUAAUAUAUACCUAUUAUGACAAUGUAUUAUCUGAUGUUAUCUGUAGUGUAGCAUAUCUUGAAAAUGUAUGAGUUUGAGUGGUGUAGAAAACCAAUUUGCUGUUGGAGAUACUUGGUAUAAAAUGUUAACCCCCCCAAAAAACUGAGCUUAUUAGUAUUUUGGGCACGGUAGUUCCAACUAGCCUUUGUACAAGUCUGUUUGUGCAAUCAUUCCACCACCUAACAUGACAAGGGGAGUGGCAAGGAGUAGAAUGAUAUCACAAAUAGACUUGUACCCACCCAGGCUAGCUCCAAACCACUUGCGGUAUGAAACGAUUGGCAUGAUGCUUUAGUGCUUUGCUACAUGAUUGUGCAACCUUUCCAUCCCCAUUACUGAUUAAAUAAAAAGGGUU